AAUACAAGGCAGACGGCUCAGUAACGCGUAGUCAACCUACCCUAUGGACGGGAAUAACCUCGGGAAACUGAGUAUAAUGCCCGAUAGAACAUUAUGCCUGGAAUGGUUUAUGUUCCAAAUGAUUUAUCGCCAUAGGAUGGGACUGCGGCCUAUCAGUUUGUUGGUGAGGUAAUGGCCCACAAAGACUAUUACAGGUACGGGCUCUGAGAGGAGUGGCCCGGAGAUGGGUACUGAGACACGGACCCAGGCCCUAUGGGGCGCAGCAGGCGAGGAAACUUUGCAAUGUGC
RNAcentral lists this ribosomal RNA (288 nucleotides) under uncultured archaeon. RNAcentral describes it as "partial 16S ribosomal RNA". It matches the Rfam family "Archaeal small subunit ribosomal RNA", at positions 73 to 360 of the family's 1478-position model. The record is from RNAcentral.